RNAcentral lists this ribosomal RNA (253 nucleotides) under uncultured bacterium. RNAcentral describes it as "partial 16S ribosomal RNA". It matches the Rfam family "Bacterial small subunit ribosomal RNA", at positions 524 to 776 of the family's 1533-position model. The record is from RNAcentral.
UACGGGGGGGGCAAGCGUUGUUCGGAAUUACUGGGCGUAAAGGGCUCGUAGGCGGCCAACUAAGUCAGACGUGAAAUCCCCAGGCUUAACCUGGGAACUGCAUCCGAUACUGGAUGGCUUGAAUCCGGGAGAGGGAUGCAGAAUUCCAGGUGUAGCGGUGAAAUGCGUAGAGAUCCGGAGGAACACCGAAGGCGAAGGCAGUGUCCUGGGGAGUACCUGACGCUCAGGUGCGAAAGCCAGGGGAGCGAACGGG